UGUUAGACCAAAUGGGGACGGGG
RNAcentral lists this non-coding RNA (23 nucleotides) under Cricetulus griseus (Chinese hamster). The record is from RNAcentral. Lineage: Eukaryota; Metazoa; Chordata; Mammalia; Rodentia; Cricetidae.